This 399-nucleotide transfer-messenger RNA is filed under the name Dysgonomonas sp. It matches the Rfam family "transfer-messenger RNA". Rfam says of the family: Bacterial tmRNA, also known as 10Sa RNA or SsrA, is named for its dual tRNA and mRNA-like properties. Its role is to liberate the mRNA from a stalled ribosome. The record is from RNAcentral. Lineage: Bacteria; Pseudomonadati; Bacteroidota; Bacteroidia; Bacteroidales; Dysgonomonadaceae.
GGGGUUGACUGGUUUUGACAGCGAGAUGAAGUGGUUUGUAAGCAUGCAGUGCAUAGUCGGCUGGCACUAUAAUCUCAGACGUCAACAAAUUUAACUGGCGAAGAAAAUUACGCUCUUGCUGCUUAAUCGAAGUAUAGUAGAUAUAGCUUAAUCUCUGCACAGGUGUAGAGACAAGACAUCACCCGGAAGCUGUGGUUCCGAAGCGUGCCGGUCAGGUGGUGUAGGUAAAUCGGAAAUAGGAUAAGAUAUGCUUCGGCUUUUGUCCGAAAUUAAAGAAGCUAAGGUUUGAGUUGGUAGCUUUGGUCUUGCUCACUCCCGACAAUCGAAGCAAAGAUAAGCAUGUAGAAAGCAAAUUAGUUCCUUGUUUGGACGAGGGUUCGAAUCCCUCCAGCUCCACAG